AUUGAACGCUGGCGGCAGGCCUAACACAUGCAAGUCGAACGGUAACAGGAAGAAGCUUGCUUAUUUGCUGACGAGUGGCGGACGGGUGAGUAAUGUCUGGGAAACUGCCUGAUGGAGGGGGAUAACUACUGGAAACGGUAGCUAAUACCGCAUAACGUCGCAAGACCAAAGAGGGGGACCUUCGGGCCUCUUGCCAUCGGAUGUGCCCAGAUGGGAUUAGCUAGUAGGUGGGGUAACGGCUCACCUAGGCGACGAUCCCUAGCUGGUCUGAGAGGAUGACCAGCCACACUGGAACUGAGACACGGUCCAGACUCCUACGGGAGGCAGCAGUGGGGAAUAUUGCACAAUGGGCGCAAGCCUGAUGCAGCCAUGCCGCGUGUAUGAAGAAGGCCUUCGGGUUGUAAAGUACUUUCAGCGGGGAGGAAGGGAGUAAAGUUAAUACCUUUGCUCAUUGACGUUACCCGCAGAAGAAGCACCGGCUAACUCCGUG
This 490-nucleotide ribosomal RNA is filed under the name uncultured bacterium. RNAcentral's name for it is "partial 16S ribosomal RNA". It matches the Rfam family "Bacterial small subunit ribosomal RNA", at positions 30 to 507 of the family's 1533-position model. The record is from RNAcentral.